Small nuclear RNA from Colossoma macropomum (tambaqui), 155 nucleotides. RefSeq annotates it as U12 minor spliceosomal RNA. Lineage: Eukaryota; Metazoa; Chordata; Actinopteri; Characiformes; Serrasalmidae. The record is from RefSeq and is a predicted model, not a curated record. The transcript has a single exon.
AUGCCUUAAAUUGAUGAGUAAGGGAAAAACAACAUGGGAUAAUUCCUAUGUGCAUGUAUACUUGGCAAGAUGAUUUUUUUUUGAGAGGGUAUAGGUGUCUGUAGACAGGCACUCACCUAUCUUGUGAAAGGUUUUCUAUGAGCAGGGUUUGCCCU